This 427-nucleotide ribosomal RNA is filed under the name uncultured bacterium. RNAcentral's name for it is "partial 16S ribosomal RNA". It matches the Rfam family "Bacterial small subunit ribosomal RNA", at positions 355 to 774 of the family's 1533-position model. The record is from RNAcentral.
UGGGGAAUAUAGCACAAUGGGCGCAAGCCUGAUGCAGCCAUGCCGCGUGUAUGAAGAAGGCCUUCGGGUUGUAAAGUACUUUCAGCGGGGAGGAAGGUGUUGUGGUUAAUAACCUCAGCAAUUGACGUUACCCGCAGAAGAAGCACCGGCUAACUCCGUGCCAGCAGCCGCGGUAAUACGGAGGGUGCAAGCGUUAAUCGGAAUUACUGGGCGUAAAGCGCACGCAGGCGGUCUGUCAAGUCGGAUGUGAAAUCCCCGGGCUCAACCUGGGAACUGCAUCCGAAACUGGCAGGCUUGAGUCUUGUAGAGGGGGGUAGAAUUCCAGGUGUAGCGGUGAAAUGCGUAGAGAUCUGGAGGAAUACCGGUGGCGAAGGCGGCCCCCUGGACAAAGACUGACGCUCAGGUGCGAAAGCGUGGGGAGCAAACA